GUGGGGAAUCUUCCACAAUGGACGAAAGUCUGAUGGAGCAACGCCGCGUGAGUGAAGAAGGGUUUCGGCUCGUAAAGCUCUGUUGUCGGGGACGAAUGUGCAGUAUUUGAAUAAAGUACUGCAAUGACGGUACCAGACGAGGAAGCCACGGCUAACUACGUGCCAGCAGCCGCGGUAAUACGUAGGUGGCAAGCGUUGUCCGGAAUUAUUGGGCGUAAAGGGAGCGCAGGCGGGAAGGUAAGUCGGUCUUAAAAGUGCGGGGCUCAACCCCGUGAUGGGAUCGAAACUAUCUUUCUUGAGUGCAGGAGAGGAAAGUGGAAUUCCUAGUGUAGCGGUGAAAUGCGUAGAUAUUAGGAAGAACACCAGUGGCGAAGGCGACUUUCUGGACGAAAACUGACGCUGAGGCGCGAAAGCCAGGGGAGCGAACGGGAUUAGAUACCCUGGUAGUCC
RNAcentral lists this ribosomal RNA (450 nucleotides) under uncultured bacterium. RNAcentral's name for it is "partial 16S ribosomal RNA". It matches the Rfam family "Bacterial small subunit ribosomal RNA", at positions 354 to 796 of the family's 1533-position model. The record is from RNAcentral.